GCGAAAGCCCCGUUCGGGGGUUAAGCUAGAGUGGCGGUCUCGGGGUAGAUGUAACACGUAGGUAAGUCUACCUUCGGGUGGGGAAUAACCCGCCGAAAGGCGGGCUAAUACCGCAUAAUGCAGCGGCACCGUUAAUAGGUUGGAAUUUUAAGGCUUUGGUUUAAAUGUCGGUUUUCCUGCAAAGGCCUCGCGCCUGAAGAGGAGCGCUGCCGGGCAAGAAUAUAAGCCUAGUUUGCGUUGCAGAGUAAAUUGCGCUUCCACCAAAGUGCCGCGAUCUGUAAGCCUGGUCUGAGGAAGGACCGGCCAGCCACACGUGGCACUUGACACACGGGCCAGACUCCUACGGGAGGCAGCAGUUAGGGAAGAGCGCGAGAGGGCGAAUAACCCUCUCGUCCGACGGUACCUUGCGUAAGCCACGGCUAACUACGUGCCCAGCAGCCGCGGUUAAUACGUAGGUGGCAUAGCGAAAUUCGGAAUUAUUGGGCGUUAAGGGCGCGUUAGGCGGUCGGUUAAGUCAGUUGUGAAAGCCCCGGGGCUUACCCCCGGAGGGUCCGACUGAUACUGGAUNGACUAGAGUACGGGAAGAGGUAGCUGGNAAUUCCCG
This 604-nucleotide ribosomal RNA is filed under the name uncultured bacterium. RNAcentral describes it as "bacterial SSU rRNA". It matches the Rfam family "Bacterial small subunit ribosomal RNA", at positions 68 to 673 of the family's 1533-position model. The record is from RNAcentral.